This 731-nucleotide ribosomal RNA is filed under the name uncultured bacterium. RNAcentral's name for it is "bacterial SSU rRNA". It matches the Rfam family "Bacterial small subunit ribosomal RNA", at positions 8 to 748 of the family's 1533-position model. The record is from RNAcentral.
AGAGUUUGAUCAUGGCUCAGGAUGAACGCUAGCGGCAGGCUUAAUACAUGCAAGGCGAGGGGGCAGCAAUGUCACCGUCGUACGGGUGCGUAACGCGUAUGCAACCUACCUUCAACUGGGGGAUAGCCCGGGGAAACCCGGAUUAAUACCGCAUAAUACAUUGGGCUCACAUGGGUUUAUUUGUUAAAGAUUUAUUGGUUGAAGAUGGGCAUGCGUUCGAUUAGCUAGUUGGCAGGGUAACGGCCUACCAAGGCGACGAUCGAUAGGGGAGCUGAGAGGUUGAUCCCCCACACGGGCACUGAGAUACGGGCCCGACUCCUACGGGAGGCAGCAGUAGGGAAUAUUGGGCAAUGGAUGCAAGUCUGACCCAGCCAUGGCCGCGUGCCGGAUGAAGGCCCUCAGGGUUGUAAACGGCUUUUAUUCGGGAAGAAGAUCAGGGAUGCGUCCUUGCGUGACGGUACCGAAUGAAUAAGCACCGGCUAACUCCGUGCCAGCAGCCGCGGUAAUACGGAGGGUGCGAGCGUUGUCCGGAUUUAUUGGGUUCAAAGGGUGCGUAGGUGGCUUUAUAAGUCAGUGGUGAAAUACAGCCGCUCAACGGUUGAGGUGCCAUUGAUACUGUAGAGCUUGAAACAAGUGGAGGCUGCCGGAAUGGAUGGUGUAGCGGUGAAAUGCAUAGAUAUCAUCCAGAACACCGAUUGCGAAGGCAGGUGGCUACGUUUGAUUUGACACUG